Molecule: unclassified non-coding RNA, 659 nt
Filed under: Hevea brasiliensis (rubber tree)
Lineage: Eukaryota; Viridiplantae; Streptophyta; Magnoliopsida; Malpighiales; Euphorbiaceae
Source: RNAcentral
UCCUUCUUCUUCUCCUUCUUCUUCUCUCCCUCUGUAGAUUUCGAACAAUCAACAUAUAUUCAGCAGCAUUCUCAUGGGGUCUAUGCUCGGUGACCUGCCGUCAUAUGACCCUCACAACUUCAGCCAACUCCGACCCUCCGAUCCUUCGACUCCUUCUAAGAUGAUUCCUGCAACCUAUCAUCCAACCCACAGUAGGACCCUUCCCCCACCAGAUCAGGUUAUAAAUACAGAGGCCAAAAAUAUACUUAUACGACACAUUUAUCAGCAUACAGAAGAGAAGUCAAGAACAAAGAGACCUGCAGCCGAGCAUCCCGUGCCCGAGCACGGAAGCAAGCAACCAAGAGCAUCUACUACCAACACUUCAAAUUGAGCUUCGGAGGACAUUUUCUUCCAACAAUGUUAAAUCUAUUCAUGUUGUGAAAGACUAGUCCUGUAUAAUGAGAGGGAAUUGCCUGCUCAUUGAAGAAGAAACAGCUCGGCCCGACAUUUACAUGUUGUAUAUAGAUUUUACUCCUAGUAAGAUUGUCCUAAACUCAGCCACAUCAAAUUGUUCCCAAAAUCAUAAAACUCAGUUGAAGAAUUGUAACUAUAUCCAUAUGAGUGUGCUUCCAAACAACACUUCAGAAAUUAGUAUUGAAGGCCUCGUUCUUAUAAAGCAG